Molecule: ribosomal RNA, 284 nt
Filed under: uncultured archaeon SYA_2000_45
Lineage: Archaea
Description: partial 16S ribosomal RNA
Rfam family: Archaeal small subunit ribosomal RNA
Source: RNAcentral
GUAGCUGGCUGAGUUAGUCCCUUGUUAAAUCCACCGAAUUAAUCGUUGGAUUGCGGGGGAUACUGCUCGGCUAGGGGACGAGAGAGGCAGACGGUAUUUCCGGGGUAGGGGUGAAAUCCUAUAAUCCCGGGAAGACCACCAGUGGCGAAGGCUGUCUGCUAGAACGCGCCCGACGGUGAGGGAUGAAAGCUGGGGGAGCGAACCGGAUUAGAUACCCGGGUAGUCCCAGCUGUAAACGAUGCAGGCUAGGUGUUUGGACGGCCACGUGCCGUUCUAGUGCCGCA